RNAcentral lists this ribosomal RNA (1601 nucleotides) under Lelliottia nimipressuralis. RNAcentral's name for it is "bacterial LSU rRNA". It matches the Rfam family "Bacterial large subunit ribosomal RNA", at positions 1 to 1635 of the family's 2925-position model. The record is from RNAcentral. RNAcentral also lists the same sequence under 1 other name. Lineage: Bacteria; Pseudomonadati; Pseudomonadota; Gammaproteobacteria; Enterobacterales; Enterobacteriaceae.
GGGUUGUGAGGUUAAGCGACUAAGCGUACACGGUGGAUGCCCUGGCAGUCAGAGGCGAUGAAGGACGUGCUAAUCUGCGAAAAGCGCCGGCGAGGUGAUAUGAACCUUUGACCCGGCGAUGUCCGAAUGGGGAAACCCAGUGCAAUUCGUUGCACUAUCGUUAACUGAAUACAUAGGUUAACGAGGCGAACCGGGGGAACUGAAACAUCUAAGUACCCCGAGGAAAAGAAAUCAACCGAGAUUCCCCCAGUAGCGGCGAGCGAACGGGGAGCAGCCCAGAGUCUGAAUCAGCUUGUGUGUUAGUGGAAGCGUCUGGAAAGUCGCACGGUACAGGGUGACAGUCCCGUACACGAAAAUGCACAGGUUGUGAACUCGAAGAGUAGGGCGGGACACGUGGUAUCCUGUCUGAAUAUGGGGGGACCAUCCUCCAAGGCUAAAUACUCCUGACUGACCGAUAGUGAACCAGUACCGUGAGGGAAAGGCGAAAAGAACCCCGGCGAGGGGAGUGAAAAAGAACCUGAAACCGUGUACGUACAAGCAGUGGGAGCACCUUCGUGGUGUGACUGCGUACCUUUUGUAUAAUGGGUCAGCGACUUAUAUUCUGUAGCAAAGGUUAACCGUAUAGGGGAGCCGAGGGAAACCGAGUCUUAACUGGGCGUUAAGUUGCAGGGUAUACGACCCGAAACCCGGUGAUCUAGCCAUGGGCAGGUUGAAGGUUGGGUAACACUAACUGGAGGACCGAACCGACUAAUGUUGAAAAAUUAGCGGAUGACUUGUGGCUGGGGGUGAAAGGCCAAUCAAACCGGGAGAUAGCUGGUUCUCCCCGAAAGCUAUUUAGGUAGCGCCUCGUGAACUCAUCUUCGGGGGUAGAGCACUGUUUCGGCUAGGGGGCCAUCCCGGCUUACCAACCCGAUGCAAACUACGAAUACCGAAGAAUGUUAUCACGGGAGACACACGGCGGGUGCUAACGUCCGUCGUGAAGAGGGAAACAACCCAGACCGCCAGCUAAGGUCCCAAAGUCAUGGUUAAGUGGGAAACGAUGUGGGAAGGCACAGACAGCCAGGAUGGUUGGCUUAGAAGCAGCCAUCAUUUAAAGAAGCGUAAUAGCUCACUGGUCGAGUCGGCCUGCGCGGAAGAUGUAACGGGGCUAAACCAUGCACCGAAGCUGCGGCAGCGACACUAUGUGUUGUUGGGUAGGGGAGCGUUCUGUAAGCCGUUGAAGGUGGCCUGUGAGGGUUGCUGGAGGUAUCAGAAGUGCGAUGCUGACAUAAGUAACGAUAAAAGCGGGUGAAAAGCCCGCUCGCCGGAAGACCAAGGGUUCCUGUCCAACGUUAAUCGGGGCAGGGUGAGUCGACCCCUAAGGCGAGGCCGAAAGGCGUAGUCGAUGGGAAACAGGUUAAUAUUCCUGUACUUGGUGUUACUGCGAAGGGGGGACGGAGAAGGCUAUGUUAGCCGGGCGACGGUUGUCCGGUUUAAGCAUGUAGGCGGAACGAUUAGGUAAAUCCGGUCGUUUAUUAACGCUGAGGUGUGAUGACGAGGCACUACGGUGCUGAAGUAACAAAUGCCCUGCUUCCAGGAAAAGCCUCUAAGCAUCAGGUAAC